CCCUUCCACUUUCUUCUUCAAUAACAUCUCUCAUUUUCUCCGCUCACCUCCAUUUUGAAACACCACCAUGUCGUCGGAACACCACUAAAAGACACCUAAGACUUGCAAUUAGUAUCUUUUUAAUUUUUAAAUCAUUGCAAUUAGUAUCACUACAAGAGGGCAUCAUUGAUGCGAAUCCAACCCAAAAGGAAUCGCACAAGCAUGCCUCUCACAGCUCUUAGAAAAUUGGACAAAAAAAAAACGUGCAUAAAGUUCAGCACACUGCCGCAACAAAUUUGAAGACAACAAGCACUGUCGCAACAAAUUCGAAGACAGCAAGCAUUGCCGUAAUAAAUUCGAAGGCAACAACCCCAC
Molecule: long non-coding RNA, 354 nt
Filed under: Capsicum annuum
Lineage: Eukaryota; Viridiplantae; Streptophyta; Magnoliopsida; Solanales; Solanaceae
Description: long non-coding RNA (CANN_LNC004613)
Source: RNAcentral